UUUGACAUCGAUGACUUCAAUGCAGACGAUUAUAUACAGUAUAUACUUGACAGGUUUGUGUGUAUCACAAAUGAUUGGGGGCCAUAUGAAGUCAGUGUUUGGUAAAAGUGUAAGACAACAUCAAUAGAAUUCUACAAACUGACAUUACAGAAUGCCAAACUUCAGGAAGGCUGGGGGGGAAAAACUGUUUGUUCAGUUACGACACAUCACAUGUAAGCACAGCUCAAACUUCUGGACGGCUGGGGGGAAACUGUUUGUUCGUUCAAUUACGACACAUCACAGGUAAGCACAGCUCAAACUUCUGGACGGCUGGGGGGAAACUGUUUGUUCGUUCAAUUACGACACAUCACAGGUAAGCACAGCUCAAACUUCUGGACGGCUGGGGGGAAACUGUUUGUUCGUUCAAUUACGACACAUCACAGGUAAGCACAGCUCAAACUUCUGGACGGCUGGGGGGAAACUGUUUGUUCGUUCAAUUACGACACAUCACAGGUAACCACAACUCACGGGACCAAUGCCGUCUUUGGUAUAGAACAAACGCCACUGAAAUGUGAAGGUAGUUGAAAUUCAUUACGAAACAACUGAAGCAAGGACAGUAUCAGUCAUACCCAUUAACUUAAAUACAAGAAUUACACUCCUCUACAUAUUUAUUGAGACAAUGAAGC
This 665-nucleotide long non-coding RNA is filed under the name Salmo salar (Atlantic salmon). RNAcentral's name for it is "lncRNA (ENSSSAG00000091306.1)". Lineage: Eukaryota; Metazoa; Chordata; Actinopteri; Salmoniformes; Salmonidae. The record is from RNAcentral.